Molecule: ribosomal RNA, 497 nt
Filed under: uncultured bacterium
Lineage: Bacteria
Description: partial 16S ribosomal RNA
Rfam family: Bacterial small subunit ribosomal RNA
Source: RNAcentral
GAUGAACGCUGGCGGCGUGCCUAAUACAUGCAAGUCGAGCGAACAGACGAGGAGCUUGCUCCUCUGACGUUAGCGGCGGACGGGUGAGUAACACGUGGAUAACCUACCUAUAAGACUGGGAUAACUUCGGGAAACCGGAGCUAAUACCGGAUAAUAUAUUUAACCGCAUGGUUCAAUAGUGAAAGACGGUUUUGCUGUCACUUAUAGAUGGAUCCGCGCCGCAUUAGCUAGUUGGUAAGGUAACGGCUUACCAAGGCAACGAUGCGUAGCCGACCUGAGAGGGUGAUCGGCCACACGGGAACUGAGACACGGACCAGACUACUACGGGAGGCAGCAGUAGGGAAUCUUCCGCAAUGGGCGAAAGCAUGACGGAGCAACGCCGCGUGAGAGAUGAAGGUCUUCGGAUCGUAAAACUCUGUUAUUAGGGAAGAAAAAAUGUGUAAGUAACUAUGCACGUAUUGACGGUAACUAAAAAGAAAGCAACGGCUAACUACGUG